Drosophila pseudoobscura is the source of this 1886-nucleotide long non-coding RNA. RefSeq lists it as uncharacterized. Lineage: Eukaryota; Metazoa; Arthropoda; Insecta; Diptera; Drosophilidae. The record is from RefSeq and is a predicted model, not a curated record. The transcript is spliced from 4 exons.
AACUGCAGCUGAUAGUCGAUUUUCAGGGCCUAAAAAUAGCCCAGGCUGCGCGUGUGCCACAAUUUGGCUUUAUCGUUGAUUGAGCGUUAGCCUAUCAUUAGCUGGACAUUCGCUGGGUGCAUACUCCUAUGGGUGUGUGUGUGUGUGUGUGUGUGUUUGUGUGGAGUGCAAAACUUCAUUUAGGACGGGGGGACAAUGUAUUGCAUUUUGGGAGCGGGCCAGAAAGAGUUAUACAUUCAAUUGGCAGCCAUGCGUUUAACGGUGGGGCCAACACAUUCGAUAUGCCACUUAAUGGCCAAUCGAUUGCUUCAAAUGCCGAUUAGGCUUGGCGAUAGAGUAAAUAAUUUAGUUUGUUUUUAUAGCCGGUGGAUUGUUUAAUGCGACAGUUUAAGUGGGUUAGAGGUAUUUAAAUUGGGUUAAAGCUUCGAGGAGUAUGACAUUAGAGUGCUUGUUUAAUAAUCAUUACAUUCGAGUAAUACAUAUGUAUGUACAUAUGUGCUUCCGUUAAAGAGGGAAAGGGAAAAACAUACGUCCACAGUUUCCUUCUACGCUCAAGAGUGAGAGGGAUGGAUAGAUAAACACACAGCAGCAGCUUCAAUGUUGCAUAUUUUCCCAGAAAUAAAACUUAACACUUCACAUCUAAUGGGAGUUUCCCCAAGUUCAGAGUCAAACAAAUGUCGAUUCAGACUUCAAAUAUGUUAAAACUACAACAUAAAUAAAAAAAACGAGCUUGGGUUGUCUUCGGAGACAUGAUAGUACACGAACUGAUAAUAGAGUUGUCACCCAUUGCCUUGAAUAACAACAAUGCAAAGAAGACGACGAGAAAGAAUGAUCAAAAGAGAGAUGGAUAGCAACGGGAAGAUGCAGAGGAAAAGACAGACACCGCACAGUAUUCAACAGUGGAAUGGAGGAACAGACAUCAGACAGAUCUGACUCAUCCGCGAGUGUUUUGUAUUGUUUUCCACCCCAUUAAAAUUGUGUCUCUUUUUCCUUUGAGCAAUUAUUUGCGCGAUAAACGAAACUAAAUGUCUUUUAUAAUGUAAUUUGGUUAAUUUUUUGGCGUGUUUUUUUGCUUUGGUUUUCACGCAUCAAUGCCGUUUGGCUAUUUUGGGCUAGCGAUUCAUGCGAGAGGCAGAGACAGACGCAGCCACCGAUGGAAGUUCAGAGGUGAGAAAAGAAUUUGCGAGAGAGCGGGACAGAUUGACGGCGGUUCAGAGGUGACAACAACAGACUUUGUCUAGUGCGAGAUACCUCGUACCCCGCCCCACCCCUCAUGCAAAAGUUGAAUGGACUUUCGAUUUUUAAUGUUCGACGGAGACUUUUUUUAUGGCCACAUUUGGCAGCACAAAGUCAACAAUUUUGCGAGUACAUAAGCAGCGAAUCGAAUACACACAAACGUAUCCGGGAGUCUCUUCUUCUGAGAUUCCCUUGUUGGCGCGAACCCAUCCCAUCAAACUGGAGCGCAGAACCGAGAUCCAAAUUCGCCGGGAAGCGACCCGCUGACUGCCCCGCAGACAGAAUGUAAUUAAGUGGGAAUUUUUGCGUGAUUUUUAUACCCUUUGCUGGUGGGGGGCUAUGGCACUCACGACGGCUAAAGACAUCUCGACUACUCUAUAAAUGUGAACAUAUGAAAACUAAUCGAAGGACUGUACUGCAAGUGGGCCGGCACCCAAACCAACUCUUAGUUUACAUUCAUUUGCUCCGAAGUUAUAUAAUUCUGCAUAGAAAACGACCGCCCAAUGAGAGAACUAACAAAGACAGAGAGAGGAAGCCAUGAGGACGGAUAGAGAAGAGGAAGCCGGAGAAGACUGAGAAGAGACAGCAAGACAGACAGUGUCGGCUAAUUGUUUUCGCUCAGUGAAAUGGAAUGCCAAAUACACAAAUAG